UACGAAGGGGGCUAGCGUUGCUCGGAAUUACUGGGCGUAAAGGGCGCGUAGGCGGAUAGUUUAGUCAGAGGUGAAAGCCCAGGGCUCAACCUUGGAACUGCCUUUGAUACUGGCUAUCUUGAGUUCGGGAGAGGUGAGUGGAAUGCCGAGUGUAGAGGUGAAAUUCGUAGAUAUUCGCAAGAACACCAGUGGCGAAGGCGGCUCACUGGCCCGAUACUGACGCUGAGGCACGAAAGCGUGGGGAGCAAACAGG
Molecule: ribosomal RNA, 253 nt
Filed under: uncultured bacterium
Lineage: Bacteria
Description: partial 16S ribosomal RNA
Rfam family: Bacterial small subunit ribosomal RNA
Source: RNAcentral